UUAAGUUCAGCGGGUAGUCUCACCCGAUUUGAGGUCAAGGGUACGUGGUCGAGGCAAGCUCGAACGUUGUCUCAUCCAGAGACGAUUGGAAGCAGGUCCCAAGAGGCGACAGAGCCAAAGACCGAGACGUGGAAGCAUCUUAUCACACGUCGAGGAUCGGCAAAGGGAACCUCGCUAAUUCAUUUGAGAGGAGCUGACCU
This 200-nucleotide unclassified non-coding RNA is filed under the name Lactarius sp. (in: basidiomycete fungi). Its description in RNAcentral is "Lactarius sp. (in: Russulaceae) partial internal transcribed spacer 2". The record is from RNAcentral. Lineage: Eukaryota; Fungi; Basidiomycota; Agaricomycetes; Russulales; Russulaceae.